GAUGAACGCUGGCGGCGUGCCUAAUACAUGCAAGUCGAGCGAACGGACGAGAAGCUUGCUUCUCUGAUGUUAGCGGCGGACGGGUGAGUAACACGUGGAUAACCUACCUAUAAGACUGGGAUAACUUCGGGAAACCGGAGCUAAUACCGGAUAAUAUUUUGAACCGCAUGGUUCAAAAGUGAAAGACGGUCUUGCUGUCACUUAUAGAUGGAUCCGCGCUGCAUUAGCUAGUUGGCAAGGUAACGGCUUACCAAGGCAACGAUGCAUAGCCGACCUGAGAGGGUGAUCGGCCACACUGGAACUGAGACACGGUCCAGACUCCUACGGGAGGCAGCAGUAGGGAAUCUUCCGCAAUGGGCGAAAGCCUGACGGAGCAACGCCGCGUGAGUGAUGAAGGUCUUCGGAUCGUAAAACUCUGUUACUAGGGAAGAACAUAUGUGUAAGUAACUGUGCACAUCUUGACGGUACCUAAUCAGAAAGCCACGGCUAACUACGUG
RNAcentral lists this ribosomal RNA (497 nucleotides) under uncultured bacterium. RNAcentral describes it as "partial 16S ribosomal RNA". It matches the Rfam family "Bacterial small subunit ribosomal RNA", at positions 28 to 507 of the family's 1533-position model. The record is from RNAcentral.